GAUCAUGGCUCAGAACGAACGCUGGCGGCGCGUUUAAGCAUGCAAGUCGAGCGGCAAGGGCCUUCGGGCCCCUAGAGCGGCGGACGGGUGAGUAACACGUGGACAAUCUGCCCCCCGGCCCGGGAUAGCCCAGGGAAACCUGGAUUAAUACCGGAUGAGACGGGACCCGCGAUGGCGGGAUCCGGGAAAGGCGCUGCGGCGCCGCCGGGGGAUGAGUCUGCGUCCCAUUAGCUAGACGGCGGGGUAACGGCCCACCGUGGCGACGAUGGGUAGCCGGCCUGAGAGGGUGGACGGCCACAUUGGAACUGAGACACGGUCCAGACUCCUACGGGAGGCAGCAGCUAAGAAUCUUCCGCAAUGGGCGAAAGCCUGACGGAGCCGACGCCGCGUGAACGAAGAAGGCCGUGAGGUUGUAAAGUUCUUUUCGGGAGGGGAACAACCGUGGCAGGGAAUGGCCGCGGGAUGACGUGAAUCCCGGAAUAAGCCCCGGCUAACUACGUGCCAGCCGCGGC
Molecule: ribosomal RNA, 512 nt
Filed under: uncultured bacterium
Lineage: Bacteria
Description: bacterial SSU rRNA
Rfam family: Bacterial small subunit ribosomal RNA
Source: RNAcentral